AUAUGAAUCACCUGGGUAAUCUUACUGAAAUGCAGAUUCUGAUUCAGUGGACCUGGGAUCAAGGUGAGGUUGAGGUUUCUAAUAAGCUGCCAGGUGAUGCCAAU
RNAcentral lists this microRNA precursor (104 nucleotides) under Marmota monax (woodchuck). The record is from RNAcentral. Lineage: Eukaryota; Metazoa; Chordata; Mammalia; Rodentia; Sciuridae.